This 487-nucleotide ribosomal RNA is filed under the name uncultured Acholeplasma sp. RNAcentral describes it as "bacterial SSU rRNA". It matches the Rfam family "Bacterial small subunit ribosomal RNA", at positions 905 to 1382 of the family's 1533-position model. The record is from RNAcentral. Lineage: Bacteria; Bacillati; Mycoplasmatota; Mollicutes; Acholeplasmatales; Acholeplasmataceae.
CGCCGCUCAGAAACUUAAGAAUUGACGGGACCCGCACAAGCGGUGGAUCAUGUUGUUUAAUUCGAUGAUACGCGAAGAACCUUACCAGGUCUUGACAUCCCCCGCGAUGCUUUAGAGAUAAAGCGGAGGUAUUCGGGGAGACAGGUGGUGCAUGGUUGUCGUCAGCUCGUGUCGUGAGAUGUUGGGUUAAGUCCCGCAACGAGCGCAACCCCUAUUGCUAGUUACCAUCAUUAAGUUGGGGACUCUAGCGAGACUGCCAGUGAUAAACUGGAGGAAGGUGGGGAUGACGUCAAAUCAUCAUGCCCCUUAUGACCUGGGCUACAAACGUGAUACAAUGGCUGGAACAAAGGGAUGCGAAGCAGUGAUGUGGAGCGAAACCCAUAAAAACAGUCUCAGUUCGGAUUGAAGUCUGCAACUCGACUUCAUGAAGUCGGAAUCGCUAGUAAUCGCGGAUCAGAACGCCGCGGUGAAUACGUUCUCGGGGUUU